RNAcentral lists this unclassified non-coding RNA (343 nucleotides) under soil metagenome. Its description in RNAcentral is "partial contains 5.8S ribosomal RNA, internal transcribed spacer 2, and large subunit ribosomal RNA". The stretch from base 1 to 120 matches the Rfam family "5.8S ribosomal RNA", at positions 35 to 154 of the family's 154-position model. The record is from RNAcentral.
GAUGAAGAACGUAGCGAAAUGCGAUACGUAAUGUGAAUUGCAGAAUUCAGUGAAUCAUCGAAUCUUUGAACGCACAUUGCGCCCGCUAGUAUUCUGGCGGGCAUGCCUGUCCGAGCGUCAUUUCAACCCUCAAGCCCCUGGGCUUGGUGUUGGGGAUCGGCGAGCCUCCGCGCCCGCCGUCCCCUAAAUCUAGUGGCGGUCUCGCUGUAGCUUCCUCUGCGUAGUAGCACACCUCGCACUGGGAAACAGCGCGGCCACGCCGUUAAACCCCCAACUUCUGAACGUUUGACCUCGGAUCAGGUAGGAAUACCCGCUGAACUUAAGCAUAUCAAUAAGCGGAGGA